GAACAGAUCUUCAUCCUGUUCACAUUGCCCUGAGGGUCUUCUUCAAUUCACAGCAUUUAUAUACUGAUUGUGUAAGAAGCCACCCCUACCUGCAGUUUACAAGAUGCAUUCAAAUCUCUGCAACUUAUAAGAUUUUGUACAGAGUCCCUGUGGCAUCUGGCUUCCAAGCUGGGAACAUAUAAACACAAUCAAGGUCAGCAGGGUAGACAGGUGGAGAGCCCCCCACAUAGUCAAGCAGGUGGUGCCCUGCACAAAGGAACCUGGCAUGGUGUGAGUGGGCUGCAGUCCUGCCAGGGCUCCAAUUGGCAAGUCAUAUUCUGACUCUGGAGGAAGAGGCACAUUUUUCAAACAUUCACAAUGUUUGCUACUGGAAGCCCUGGACUAAUGUACAGACUUAGGACUUAUUUAAUACAAGGACUAUAAUAGAAGCAAAUAUGAAUAGCUAAGUGAAGUUAGCCAAUCCCAAAACCCAAAUGCUGAAUGUUUUCUCUGAUAUAAGGAGGCUGAUUCAUAGUGGGUUUGGGAGGGGGAGAAUGGGAG
This 540-nucleotide long non-coding RNA is filed under the name Marmota monax (woodchuck). Lineage: Eukaryota; Metazoa; Chordata; Mammalia; Rodentia; Sciuridae. The record is from RNAcentral.